UACGUAGGGUCCGAGCGUUGUCCGGAUUUAUUGGGCGUAAAGAGCUCGUAAGCGGUUCGUCGCGUCGGCUGUGAAAUCCCGAGGCUCAACCUCGGGUCUGCAGUCGAUACGGGCGGACUGGAGUUCGGCAGGGGAGACUGGAAUUCCUGGUGUAGCGGUGAAAUGCGCAGAUAUCAGGAGGAACACCGGUGGCGAAGGCGGGUCUCUGGGCCGAUACUGACGCUGAGGAGCGAAAGCGUGGGGAGCGAACAGG
Molecule: ribosomal RNA, 253 nt
Filed under: uncultured bacterium
Lineage: Bacteria
Description: partial 16S ribosomal RNA
Rfam family: Bacterial small subunit ribosomal RNA
Source: RNAcentral